GUGAUGAUGUGUGUAUUGUCUCCAGUCCACAGGCCUCCAGUCCGUCUCUUUCCUAUGGAUAACAUGGGAAUGAAGGAAAAUUCUGGAACAUCAGGGAUCAGAGAAAAAUAUCAAGAGUUUCUAAACCUUACAGCAGCAUCAAGCAUUUGUUGUGAUGUCAGUCACCUUUAACUGUGAACGGCCCUCGGUGACGACGACACGAGCGCUCACUGGAUUGAGAGACGUUCGUCUGUUACCAUGGUCCAGUGUCAGGUGCAGGAGAGUUACAGAGAUGUGGAUAAAAGAUAAAAAAACAGGUAUCACUGCAAGUCUUAUUUGUAACAUAGUUUGUUAAUAGUGCAUGUUGGGCGAAACACCGGAUACACACACACACACACACACACACACACACGCGUCACACUCAGUCAAACGUGUGUGUCUCUGGCUUCCUACAGUAAGUGCAGCGGAAGUGUCCUUAUCAGUGUGUGUGUGUGAGACACUUGUCUUUCUCUCUGUAUGUUUCCAUUUAAAGCGUGUCCUCUGUAUCACCUCACACUCUCUCAAACACACACACACACACACACACACACACAGUCAGAGACUCUUGGGUAAAAUAACAAAAAGAUAACAGAACACGCUCUUAUCAGACAUAGCUGAGUGCUGAUGGAGGGAAGGUCAGCAGUGAAGUUAUGAGACACACACACACACGUAUGCCAAGGUGAGACUCUUUGAAACAGUGAACACAGACACAGAGACACUGAGCUCUCUUAUGCUGCCAGACUCACGUCUCUAUGCUUAGAUUAUCGUUUCAUGCGUGCAUAGAUCAUAUUCUGCACAUUUCACUGCGGUCGGUUUACUGUAUUCUGAUAUUUUCCCACAUACUGUAUCUAAAAUAGAGUUUAUUGAUAUUUUCUGCUUUUUAUUUAUGCAUUUUGAUAUUCUUAGCACAUUUACAGUAUUCUCAUAUUUUCUACACUAUUUAUAUAUUCUGAUAUUUUUAUACACUAAA
Cyprinus carpio (common carp) is the source of this 988-nucleotide long non-coding RNA. RefSeq lists it as uncharacterized. Lineage: Eukaryota; Metazoa; Chordata; Actinopteri; Cypriniformes; Cyprinidae. The transcript is spliced from 3 exons. The record is from RefSeq and is a predicted model, not a curated record.